Molecule: non-coding RNA, 87 nt
Organism: Mycena galopus ATCC 62051
Lineage: Eukaryota; Fungi; Basidiomycota; Agaricomycetes; Agaricales; Mycenaceae
Source: the annotation of a GenBank genome assembly
GCCUUCAUGGCUCAGUUGUUAAUACUGCUGCUGCAGCACCGCCACCCGAUUGUGGGUUGGUCCAGGGUUCGAUUCCCUGUGGAGGCA